AUUUAACGCUGGCGUCAUGCCUUACACAUGCAAGUCGAACGGCAGCACGGGAGCAAUCCUGGUGGCGAGUGGCGAACGGGUGAGUAAAGUAUCGGAACGUGCCCAGUCGUGGGGGAUAACGUAGCGAAAGUUACGCUAAUACCGCAUACGAUCUAUGGAUGAAAGCGGGGGAUCGCAAGACCUCGCGCGAUUGUAGCGGCCGGUAUCAGAUUAGGUAGCUGGUGGGGUAAAGGCUCACCAAGCCGACGAUCCGUCGCUGGUCUGAGAGGACGACCAGCCACACUGCGACUGAGACACGGCCCAGACUCCGACGCGAGGCAGCAGUGGUGAAUUUUGGACGUGGGGCGAACGCCUGACCCAGCCAGGCCGCGUUGAGGAUGAAGGCCUUCGGGUUGUAAACUGCCUUUGGACGGAACGAAGAAGUUUGGCCUAAUAAGCUGAGCUCAUGACGGUACCGUAAGAAUAAGCACCGGCUAACUACGUGCCAGCAGCCGCCGUAA
Molecule: ribosomal RNA, 500 nt
Filed under: uncultured bacterium
Lineage: Bacteria
Description: partial 16S ribosomal RNA
Rfam family: Bacterial small subunit ribosomal RNA
Source: RNAcentral